This 483-nucleotide ribosomal RNA is filed under the name uncultured bacterium. Its description in RNAcentral is "partial 16S ribosomal RNA". It matches the Rfam family "Bacterial small subunit ribosomal RNA", at positions 28 to 507 of the family's 1533-position model. The record is from RNAcentral.
GACGAACGCUGGCGGCGUGCUUAACACAUGCAAGUCGAACGCUGAAGCUCAGCUUUUGUUGGGCGGACGAGUGGCGAACGGGUGGGUAACACGUGAGUAACCUGCCCCCUUCUUUGGGAUAACGCCCGGAAACGGGUGCUAAUACUGGAUAUUCACUGGUCUUCGCCUGGGGGUUGGUGGAAAGGGCUUUUCUGGUGGGGGAUGGGCUUGCGGCCUAUCCGCUUGUUGGUGGUGUGAUGGCCUACCCAGGCUUUGACGGGUAGACGGCCUGAGAGGGUGACCGGGCACAUAGGGACGGAGCUAAGGCCCAGGCUCGGACGGGGGGGGGCAGUGGGGAAUAUUGGACAAUGGGCGCAAGCCUGAUGCAGCGACGCCGCGGAAGGGAUGGGGGCCUUCGGGUUGUGAACCUAUUGCGCACAUGAUGAGUACGCAACAAUGGUUGUGGUGAGGGUAGUGGGUAAAGAAGCGACGGCCAACUACGUG